RNAcentral lists this ribosomal RNA (496 nucleotides) under uncultured bacterium. RNAcentral describes it as "partial 16S ribosomal RNA". It matches the Rfam family "Bacterial small subunit ribosomal RNA", at positions 29 to 507 of the family's 1533-position model. The record is from RNAcentral.
ACGCACGCUGGCGGCGUGCCUAAUACAUGCAAGUUGAGCGCUGAAGGUUGGUACUUGUACCAACUGGAUGAGCAGCGAACGGGUGAGUAACGCGUGGGGAAUCUGCCUUUGAGCGGGGGACAACAUUUGGAAACGAAUGCUAAUACCGCAUAAAAACUUUAAACACAAGUUUUAAGUUUGAAAGAUGCAAUUGCAUCACUCAAAGAUGAUCCCGCGUUGUAUUAGCUAGUUGGUGAGGUAAAGGCUCACCAAGGCGAUGAUACAUAGCCGACCUGAGAGGGUGAUCGGCCACAUUGGGACUGAGACACGGCCCAAACUCCUACGGGAGGCAGCAGUAGGGAAUCUUCGGCAAUGGACGAAAGUCUGACCGAGCAACGCCGCGUGAGUGAAGAAGGGUUUCGGAUCGUAAAACUCUGUUGGUAGAGAAGAACGUUGGUGAGAGUGGAAAGCUCAUCAAGUGACGGUAACUACCCAGAAAGGGACGGCUAACUACGUG